GAAUGCUGACAUAAGUAACGAUAAAGCGGGUGAAAAGCCCGCUCGCCGGAAGACCAAGGGUUCCUGUCCAACGUUAAUCGGGGCAGGGUGAGUCGACCCCUAAGGCGAGGCCGAAAGGCGUAGUCGAUGGGAAACAGGUUAAUAUUCCUGUACUUGGUGUUACUGCGAAGGGGGGACGGAGAAGGCUAUGUUAGCCGGGCGACGGUUGUCCCGGUUUAAGCAUGUAGGCUGGUUAUCCAGGCAAAUCCGGAUAAUCAAGGCUGAGGUGUGAUGACGAGGCACUACGGUGCUGAAGUAACAAAUGCCCUGCUUCCAGGAAAGCCUCUAAGCAUCAGGUAACAUCAAAUCGUACCCCAAACCGACACAGGUGGUCAGGUAGAGAAUACCAAGGCGCUUGAGAGAACUCGGGUGAAGGAACUAGGCAAAAUGGUGCCGUAACUUCGGGAGAAGGCACGCUGGUGUGUAGGUGAAGUCCCUGCGGAUGGAGCUGAGACCAGUCGAAGAUACCAGCUGGCUGCAACUGUUUAUUAAAAACACAGCACUGUGCAAACACGAAAGUGGACGUAUACGGUGUGACGCCUGCCCG
RNAcentral lists this ribosomal RNA (586 nucleotides) under Klebsiella pneumoniae. Its description in RNAcentral is "bacterial LSU rRNA". It matches the Rfam family "Bacterial large subunit ribosomal RNA", at positions 1292 to 1865 of the family's 2925-position model. The record is from RNAcentral. Lineage: Bacteria; Pseudomonadati; Pseudomonadota; Gammaproteobacteria; Enterobacterales; Enterobacteriaceae.